RNAcentral lists this long non-coding RNA (326 nucleotides) under Elaeis guineensis (African oil palm). Its description in RNAcentral is "long non-coding RNA (EGUI_LNC063119)". The record is from RNAcentral. Lineage: Eukaryota; Viridiplantae; Streptophyta; Magnoliopsida; Arecales; Arecaceae.
AACUCCCAACCACUCCAGUCCAUUUAUAGACCAUCAUUCAGGACAUAUACUAGGUCUAAUAUAGAUCUUCUUAUCCAUGCUCUUGGACCCUCCAGUAGGAUCCAGAGCAGGAGAGGUGGAGCCUCAUUAUCUAGGACUCGCUCUCGACUAUUAACCUUCCUUCUGAUGAGGAUUAGGCUUAGGGUCUGUCACUAUCUUUAGAUUGCUCACUAUUUUAUUUGGCUUCAUUUUGAUGUAUUUUUGUUUAUGUCUUUAUACUAUAUCAUGGUUGUACUGUAGUGAAUUUUUUUUGAAAACAGUACAUUCAUUUUGUCUGAUACUCAUGU